UGGUGAUGGCAGGAACGCCCGUUUUAUCUUCUUUCGAAAAACAGAAGGUACAGUAGAGUCUCACUUAUCCAACAUAAACGGGCCAGCAGAACGUUGGAUAAGUGAAUAUGUUGGAUAAUAAGGAGAGAUUAAGGAGAAGCCUAUUAAACAUCAAAUUAGGUUAUGAUUUUACAAAUUAAGCACCAAAACAUCAUGUUAUACAACAAAUUUGACAGAAAAAGUAGUUCAAUACGCAGUAAUGUUAUGUUGUAAUUACUGUAUUUACGAAUUUAGCACCAAAAUAUCAUGAUAUAUUGAAAACAUUGACUACAAAAAUGCAUUGGAUAAUCCAGAAUGUUAGAUAAGCAAAUGUUGGAUAAGUGAGACUCUACUGUAUGUCUAGAACUGGAGUAGAAAGGUUCUUCAUUCCCAACCUGGACAAAAAUAAGGGAAAACAAUCGCGUGCCUUCAAGUUGCAUGUAGAUUUAUAGGGAAACCCAUGGAUUUCAAAGGCUGGGGCCGGGCUGUGGUGCAGGCUGGUGAGCAGCCAGCUGCAAUAAAUCACUCUGACCAAGAGGUCAUGAGUUCGAGUCCAGGGGGUGAGCACCCAACAAUUAAAAUAAAAAAUAGCCCCUGCUUGUUGUUGACGUAUGCAACCCGAAAGAUAGUUGCAUCUAUCAGGUAGGAAAUUUAGGUACCACUUAUAUGUGACACCAUAAAAAUGAUCCAGCCGCCAUUGGAAUGAGGAAGUUGUCAUUGCAGUGGAUGAUGAAGCAGCAGCUCCCCCUGUGGCCGGAAUCAAGCAUACCCUCAGGAAGCUGGAAGCUGGAGAAGGUUUAAAUUGCCUCUGUGUCUGUCUCUGUCUCUGUUCUAUGUUUAUAUGGCAUUGAAUGUUUGCCUUCUAUAUAUAUAAAAUGAUAAAGUUGUUUGCGCAGUGACUAUAACAACAAAACUAAACAUCCCAGAAAUACGAAAUUUGGCAACACAAUGCAAAAGGUUUGCCUCCAGGUUACAACAACACAACCACACCACAAAACCACAAUCCAGACCCACAAAACUCACAACAACGCAUCAUGUGAUAACAACACAACUAAACGCCCCAGAAAUACAAAACUUGGCAACACAAUGCAAAAGCCUUGCCUCCCAGUUGUAACAACACAACCACACCACAAAACCACACAGGAUCCACAAAACUCACAACAACGCAUCGUGACUAUAACAACACAACUAAACGCCCCAGAAAUACGAAACUUGGCAACACAACAACACAUCAUGACUAUAACAACACAACUAAACGCCCCAGAAAUACGAAACUUGGCAACACAACACAAAAGCAUUCCCUCCCGAUUGUAACAACACAACAACACCACAAAACCACAAUCCGUACCCACAAAACUCACAACAAUGCAUCGUGACUAUAACAACACAACUAAACGCCCCAGAAAUACAAAACUUGGCACACAACUAAGCACCCCAGAAAUACAAAACUUGGCAACACAACACAAAAGCCUUGCCUCUCAGUUGUAACAACACAACCACACCACAAAACCACAAUCCGGACCCACAAAACUCACAACAACGCAUUGUGACUAUAACAAAUACAAAAUUUGACAACACAACUCAUCCACCUCCCCAAUCCCUACAUUCAAACUUGGCCUCCAAAAAAACAAUUACAAUAAUAACAAUGACAACAACAACAACAAUAAGAAUCAACACCAUCACAGGCACAGGCAAGAAGCAGCCAGGCUCUGAGGCUGAGAGGCCAGUCAGUGCUACACUGGGCCUCCAAAAAACAAUACAGUAGCAUCUAACUUAUCCAACCUUCAUGACCACUACAACAACAAUAAUAAUAAACACCUACACAGGCAAAAAAAAAAGACUAUUGUACCACAAUAAAAAUAUAAACUGCACUCAGCAGAAUCAGACGUUACAACUAACAACAAACCAAAGACAACAGGGAUCUCAAACAAUUAUCAAUCAACACAAAAAUUGAAGAAGGUAACAGACUUCAAAUACUACUACUAAUGUGAGUAUAAAGAAGGGUGGAGGUCACAGCACAAAUACAACCUAAUGUAGACUGACCAACACCACCAGACUAAGCCACAGCAACGCGUGGCCGGGCACAGCUAGUAUAUGUAUAUAAUGUUAUCUGCCCUGAGUCCCCUUCGGGGUGAGACAGGCAGAAUAUAAAUAACUGAAAUAAAUAAAUAAAUUUUAUUCGGCAAGAACAUCUCACAUUUGCACUCCUUCUUUGGAAGUUAAGACUAGAUGGUCAUCUGUUGGGAGGGCUUGGAUUUCAGAAGACCCUUAAGAUCUCUUCCAAGUCUAGGAUUCUAUAUAUCAUUAUUCAGUGAAAUAUACUGGUCCUGGCACUCCAAUGAGUCUAAACACCAAGAAAGAACUUGGGUUGGCCAGUUUGGUUUCAAUCGCUCAGCUUUGGCACCGACUCUUGAUAUUUUGGUCCUCUAGAAGUUUGGAUUUUGAGUUUUGACCAUUGGCCAAAGUUCUGAAAUCCAAAAUAUCUCCAGAAUCUAAGCCAGGAAGUCG
RNAcentral lists this long non-coding RNA (2526 nucleotides) under Anolis carolinensis (green anole). Its description in RNAcentral is "lncRNA (ENSACAG00000042188.1)". Lineage: Eukaryota; Metazoa; Chordata; Lepidosauria; Squamata; Anolidae. The record is from RNAcentral.